RNAcentral lists this ribosomal RNA (238 nucleotides) under uncultured bacterium. Its description in RNAcentral is "partial 16S ribosomal RNA". It matches the Rfam family "Bacterial small subunit ribosomal RNA", at positions 524 to 761 of the family's 1533-position model. The record is from RNAcentral.
UACGAAGGGGGCUAGCGUUGCUCGGAAUCACUGGGCGUAAAGCGCACGUAGGCGGCUUUCUAAGUCAGGGGUGAAAUCCUGGAGCUCAACUCCAGAACUGCCUUUGAUACUGGAGAGCUCGAGUCCGGAAGAGGUGAGUGGAACUGCGAGUGUAGAGGUGAAAUUCGUAGAUAUUCGCAAGAACACCAGUGGCGAAGGCGGACUCACUGGCCGGUACUGACGCUGAGGUGCGAAAGCG